This 459-nucleotide ribosomal RNA is filed under the name Schmidingerella taraikaensis. Its description in RNAcentral is "partial Bacterial small subunit ribosomal RNA". It matches the Rfam family "Bacterial small subunit ribosomal RNA", at positions 1069 to 1532 of the family's 1533-position model. The record is from RNAcentral. Lineage: Eukaryota; Ciliophora; Spirotrichea; Tintinnida; Rhabdonellidae.
GAGAUGUUGGGUUAAGUCCCGCAACGAGCGCAACCCUCGUCCUUAGUUGCCAUCAUUAAGUUGGGCACUUUAAGGAAACUGCCGGUGAUAAGCCGGAGGAAGGUGGGGAUGACGUCAAGUCCUCAUGGCCCUUACAGGCUGGGCUACACACGUGCUACAAUGGCAUCUACAGUGGGCAGCUAUUCCGCAAGGAUGCGCUAAUCUCCAAAAGAUGUCUCAGUUCGGAUUGUCCUCUGCAACUCGAGGGCAUGAAGGCGGAAUCGCUAGUAAUCGCGGAUCAGCAUGCCGCGGUGAAUACGUUCCCGGGCCUUGUACACACCGCCCGUCACACCAUGGGAGUUGGAUCUACCCGAAGGCCGUGCGCUAACUUUUGAGGCAGCGGACCACGGUGGGUUCAGCGACUGGGGUGAAGUCGUAACAAGGUAGCCCUAGGGGAACCUGGGGCUGGAUCACCUCCUU